GGACCCGCGGUCCGCGGUCCGCGGUCUGGAGGGAGGGCGGGCAUGGGAGUGCUGGUCUGCGCAAGAAGUGACUUCUCCGUUAGCUUCCGCCUUCGUCACCACAUCACAAUGAGCAUCCCCACCUCCAUCACCGCGACUGUGGCUCGGCCGCGGCGGCACUUCCGGGAGCCCUCGGGCGUCCGUUGGGUCUGUUAGAGCGCACUCGACCCGCAGCGCCUGUGGGCUGGGAGCGCGGCCCGCGUCCUUCCCGGCAGUAGCUUGUGCGACAGGCAGUGCAGAGGCCACACCUAAGCACAGAAUGAAGAGCACAUUUCAAACCUUUGGGAAAGAAGUGUGCCUCACAGAUCUUUUGAUGUGUCCCGUCUCCAGUGCUGUUCACCGAGAGCCCAUCUGCUGUGAGUACCAGUCCAGAUUUGGGGGCCGCCUACCAGUGCCCAGGGCUGAGGCAGCGCUACCUUACUGGGUCCCUCAGUCCCUGAGACCCCGAAAGCAGAUCCAAGAGAUGGUCCAGGUUAAUGUCUCCAAAGCCACCAAGGCGUGUUCCUGCCCAGGGCACGGCUUUGGGGGCCGCCUCCCAGUGCCUAGGGAUCAGGCUGUGAUGCCCUACUGGGUGCCCCGGGUGCUGAGGUCUUACACGAAGAUCCAAAAGAAGGUCCAGGUUGAUAUCCCCAAAGCCACCAAGGCAUGCCCCUGCCCAGGUCACUGCUUUGGGGGCCGCCUCCCAGUGCCUAGGGAUCAGGCUGUGAUGCCCUACUGGGUGCCCCGGGUCCUGAGGUCUUACAAGAAGGUGGUGAAAAGGCAGCCGAGUUGUAAAGGCAUUACAGAAACCCCCCUGGAUUCACACUCUUGGCACAACCGCUGGCGGAUCUGUGGCAGCAGACGCCUCCUCCUCAAGUGGCUGCAGCUCCAGGCCCUGCACCAGGACGGGCCGCUGGCCCCGGGGAGGAGGGCAAGCCUCCAGACCCCCUUCCUGCCUCUCUGCCUCAGCCUCCUGACCUUCCUCCAGACUGUCUUGAGGGCCAUUGAGAUCAUUCGCCGGGUUAACGGAAGAGCAGUGCGGAUAAGAGAGAGCUGAUGCCAGCCUUCUGGGGUUUGGCCACACCUUUAGGGUGAUGCCUUGCUGCCUGUCGGCCAGCCCUGCCCCAGCCGUCACGGCUCUACCUUGGGAAGUCCCCAGUCUGGAUGCCACCAGCCUGGAACAGGCCCCUGUUUCUUACCUGGAACCCUGCUGAGUUUCUCCUCCAGGAAGCUUCCAGGGUGACUCGGGGGCUCAAGUUCUGCAAAGCUGGGACUCUCUUCCUUGUUCUAGAAGGAGAGAGCGGGCUCUGAGGGGUUGAGUGACUCGCCUGAGGUCCCAUGGCUAAAAGUGAGCCAGCUGAGGCUGCACCCCGGCGUCACCUCACAGCACCCCUCUCCUGCCUGGGCUCCUCAGGACUAAGCGCACGGGGGACCUGGAUGACAUCCCUCUCCACUCUCCUCCCCAUGAAGGCUUCUGGACAGGCCCCGCAAGGGCAGUGUGGGCUCAGCUGGAGGACAGUUCCUAGUAACUGCCUUUCUCUUUGCUUUCCAGCCAUUUUUUGGGGGUUUGAAGUUGGAAUCUUCAGCUAGUACCAAGAACAUCAGCAAAAAUGUCAAUCAUAAUCAAGGUCUCUUAAUGAAAGUUGUUAAAUCAGAGGAGUCUGUGAUAGUCUCUGUUUUCUCAGCCCACAUAAUUCACACCCAAGAUUCAGUCCAAGUUGUUUAUCAUGAGAGGUGCUUGGUCGCACAGAGCUGCUGUGAAUGCGGGUGAGAUUCUGUUAUAAAUGUAGUCAAUAAAUGUUAUUUGUG
Molecule: RNA transcript, 1827 nt
Organism: Molossus molossus (Pallas's mastiff bat)
Lineage: Eukaryota; Metazoa; Chordata; Mammalia; Chiroptera; Molossidae
Gene: CUNH16orf95
Gene name: chromosome unknown C16orf95 homolog
Exons: 10
Source: RefSeq, a predicted model, not a curated record